The sequence is a regulatory RNA element, 94 nucleotides long. It matches the Rfam family "L4-Archaeoglobi ribosomal protein leades". The record is from Rfam.
CUGAUGGAGGCGCAUGGGUUGAGGUCGGCCUCGACCGCCCUGUACCCCUUAAAUCAAAAAGAAGAUUCCAGAAGGGGCAGCGCCUGAACGUCAG